RNAcentral lists this ribosomal RNA (253 nucleotides) under uncultured bacterium. Its description in RNAcentral is "partial 16S ribosomal RNA". It matches the Rfam family "Bacterial small subunit ribosomal RNA", at positions 524 to 776 of the family's 1533-position model. The record is from RNAcentral.
UACGAAGGGUGCUAGCGUUGUUCGGAAUCACUGGGCGUAAAGCGCGCGUAGGCGGCUUGCCAAGUCAGGGGUGAAAUCCUGGGGCUUAACCCCAGAAUUGCCUUUGAAACUGGCGAGCUAGAGUACUGGAGGGGUUGGCGGAAUUCCUAAUGUAGAGGUGAAAUUCGUAGAUAUUAGGAGGAACACCGGUGGCGAAGGCGGCCAACUGGACAGUAACUGACGCUCUGGCGCGAAAGCGUGGGUAUCAAACAGG